UAACAACAGCGGAAGAACCUUCUU
This 24-nucleotide microRNA is filed under the name Glycine max (soybean). Its description in RNAcentral is "gma-miR4364b". The record is from miRBase by way of RNAcentral. Lineage: Eukaryota; Viridiplantae; Streptophyta; Magnoliopsida; Fabales; Fabaceae.